Molecule: long non-coding RNA, 2125 nt
Organism: Anguilla rostrata (American eel)
Lineage: Eukaryota; Metazoa; Chordata; Actinopteri; Anguilliformes; Anguillidae
Exons: 2
Source: RefSeq, a predicted model, not a curated record
UGUUUCGCAAAUGUAUAAAAGAGCAUUUUACGUGUGUGGCAAAGAUCUCAUUUGUCCAUAGCAGAGAGAGUUGCCAUCUCUUCCGUGGGAAACAUUUUGCCAUUUCCGAUAGAAGGGCCACACGUUUUUUGUUUUUUCUGCUUGCACUUGGCUGUGUACAUUUGCAGCAUAAGCUGUGUUUCUGCUUUAUCGGUCAACCUUGACUGUUUUUAAUAUGGGAGUAGAAGAGACUGUAUGCCUCCAAGCUAUUUGCUUUAGUCAUGGAACCCUGAUUUUUCAAUUACUAAUGGGCUUUUUUAAAUGGAGAAUCGGUUGAAAGCUUGUGUUAAAUGCUCCCAAGGUCAGCAAGUUCAGCACAUGGUGGGGGUGAUGUAAUUACCUUUUUAAAUUAUUAUAUAUUUCCUAACAAGAUAAUAUUUUUUAGUCUCCAACCCUAGCAAUAGGCCAUGUAUUAUGGCAAGAGCCCCAAACCCUGGUCCUGGAGAGCAAUGAGACCUGCUAGAUAUGCUUUCACCUUAAAAUCAGAAACCAGUUUAGACCCAAGAAACCAGGUGAGGUGAGUUAUCUAUGUCAUCAACUGCUUUAAUUGAUCAAUCAAUUAGAGUAGAAGUAAUUAAUAGUAAUUAAUGAACUAAUUAAUUGAUCAAUUAAUUAGAAUACUAACCAGCUGACCCUGUGGCAGUCCAGGAUUAGGGUGUGGAACGCCUGUAGUCAGUUUUCACCUCUUUAUGAAGUGGCAGACAGAAAGACAAGAAGCAAGCAGAGGGAAUAGCAAACGGAAGACAAUCAGCACAGGAUCAGGGGGAAAACGCCCAGACGUCCCGAAGUCUCUCACCCUCCUUCAGGAGGAUGGCUUUAAAAGGGCCUCAUUUUCCCGCCUUCCUGCUGCCAGGGGAGUCCAGGCAGACCGUCCAGGCAGCUGUCGAUGGAGACAGAGUAACUCUGUGAAUAAAACCCCCACCUCAGAAAAAGUAAACAAGGACAACGGGACAGGGGAGACCUACAAUCCCAGGCUCAGUUAUUCACUGUGAACAAUGUUGAGCUACACCAUGCCGCUAGCAUGAAGCAGCAGAUACUGCCCUUGUCCCUUGUGCGUGCCGCAACUAUAGCGUGGCUCACAUGCUGGUGCGGCAUAAAUCAUUUCUCAGGAUUUGCUGUUCUCACCUCUCAGAACAGUGUUUUGAUUCAUUGGAGUUUUGAAGGUUAGGGGGUAAACUAGUGAAAUCUGAUAUACAACACAGCCACAAUGCAAUGUAUAAAAUCUUUUGUGUUUAAAUGGCAUCAGGAGCUGCCCUAAAACAUUACCAGCAGUCUGCCACACAAGAACUACGUAAUAAAUAUAUAACCAGAAGAAUGUAUCAUUAUUUGAAAAUGGGAAAGUAUUUUGCUGCAUUUUUAGACUAUACACAAUGGUGGACAUUUGUUGGAAAGCCAUGCAAACAUUUCCUGAGCUGACCAUUCAUAAUUUUCACAUAAAUUUGCUGUAUACUUCUCAUCUUGAGGGUUAAACUUUUUUAAAACAGUACCUGUGAUCAGCCAUUUUGGAGUGUGUCACAGGACAUGAACUGAAAGUUACUCUGAACUACUCUGAAUUUCAACUACAUUUUCUAGGCUCUCCCAAGGAAAGUAUGGCUCACUGUAAAUCAAGUGCUGUGGCAUGAGACAGAAAAUUCAAAGGGUUCUCAUGAAGGCCUGUCUUGCCCACUUUCUGUGUGUUGCAAAGAUGGAUUGUAGGCAAUGAUCCUGCAAUAGACUGAUAUCCUUUCGAGGAAGUGUUAGUGCAUGUCAAUCUGCUUCAGACCACAGAAGGUUAAGAGAAGUUUAAUUUCUGCGGGCUAUUUAUACACAGACCGAAUAGCCAUAGAUAUUUGGUUCUAUUGUACUCCCAUGGGGUUAAUAAAAUAUACACUGGCUAAUGGCAUUCUAAACAUUCAUUUGGAGAUUCUACAUGGUAGUUCAUUGUACGAUCCUUGAUUUACCCACAGGCUGUUACUAGUCAUUUUGCCAUAACUAUAACUGGACACGUUGUUCAUAUUAAUGGUGCUUCUGCAGCUGUGAUAACAAAUGAGGAAUUACCUUGUCUGUCAGGGAUCACUUUCCCAAUUUCAUUUGACAUCAUGUUACA